RNAcentral lists this unclassified non-coding RNA (1268 nucleotides) under Leishmania donovani. Its description in RNAcentral is "gene:LdHU3.24.2330(CDS-product:hypothetical_prote in_conserved)". The record is from RNAcentral. Lineage: Eukaryota; Euglenozoa; Kinetoplastea; Trypanosomatida; Trypanosomatidae.
UUACUUUGUGCAGGGGCGCCGCAAGCCUCCGCAAGAGGCGAAAGGAAACCGGGCGCACAGAAGAACAGCACUCGUGACGUGCGUGUGGCUGUAUGUUCACCGAGCCCUUUGCGCUUCGCGUUAUCUCACGGCAGAUAGAAAAAGGCGUGCCGAGGUGCGCGAAUCCUCGUGUCGCACGAUGCGACUCACGCCACUCCGAUGCUCAGCAGCGGCCUUUAACUUCACCUCACUGCUCCUCCAAGGCAGCGGCGGUGGCUACCGUUUCUUCGAAGAUAUGUACCCAAAGCACGACCCCGCCCCGCGAUACAGGUACUACGAGGACCAGAUGCAGAGCCCCACGGUACGGUCGCUGGAGCCCAAGAAGCAAAUGACGGAGACGGAGAAGCUGCACCAUCUGCACGACUGGAAGAAGGACAAGGAGGGGCUCACCCCACCACCGGAGUUCGGCUGGCCAGAGGAGUGGGGCCCGGAGCCGGGGGAGGAGGGGCACAGUGAAUGGUACAGGAAGAACCGCAUGUACAUGUCAUAUGAGGAGAAGUCCCGCUACGACCUGCGCGUCGGUGUGCCGGUGGAGAAGAACUCGAUGCGGCACCAGGAGAUGCCGUACCAGAAGCGCAUGAAGGCCGCCUACGUGAAUUUGGAAGAGAAGAACCCGCAAUACUUCGACCCCCGCCAGCGCAAGUACUGGGCCGAGUACUCGUACGAGGAUCAGCGCGACACGAUGGCCAAAGCGCGUGAUGACUACAUCACGGAGUGGCUCGACGAGCCAGGGGUAACCAAGGAGAACGUGGCCAAGAAGAUCGGCGACUACAACGGGACGGCAAAGAACCAAAACGUGAAGUCGGUGCAGCGGCGGCCAGAGUGGGAGCUGGCGCCGCGGCCCGAGUACGAUGACGAUUGAAAGAGGCGAAGAGGGCACAGAGAUGUCCACUCAUGCACCUCCCCCCCCCCCUCCCGCUCCUCUUUCGUGCUCCGUGUCUGAGCUUCACGUGAUUGGGGCUGCUGCUGAUGGCAAGGGUGGGGGUGGGGACCAAUGAACGGACAGUGAUGCAUACUGGUACUGCUGUCGUUGUUGUCUUCCUUUGGUAUGUGUUAGGGAGGUCGCACUGUUUCACUUGAUGUCGGCAGCGCACGCUGGCUGCAUUACAACGAUACGUGUAUAUACCGGCGCGCACACACACACACACGAAGCGCGCCUACUCCCUUUCUCUCUGUGCCCCUCGUGUGUGUGGCACGUGGAUCUUGUCCCGCUUAUCCACUUUUCUAUC